This 490-nucleotide ribosomal RNA is filed under the name uncultured bacterium. RNAcentral describes it as "partial 16S ribosomal RNA". It matches the Rfam family "Bacterial small subunit ribosomal RNA", at positions 30 to 507 of the family's 1533-position model. The record is from RNAcentral.
AUUGAACGCUGGCGGCAGGCCUAACACAUGCAAGUCGAACGGUAACAGGAAGAAGCUUGCUUCUUUGCUGACGAGUGGCGGACGGGUGAGGAAUGUCUGGGAAACUGCCUGAUGGAGGGGGAUAACUACUGGAAACGGUAGCUAAUACCGCAUAACGUCGCAAGACCAAAAAGGGGGACCUUCUGGCCUCUUGCCAUCGGAUGUGCCCAGAUGGGAUUAGCUAGUAGGUGGGGUAACGGCUCACCUAGGCGACGAUCCCUAGCUGGUCUGAGAGGAUGACCAGCCACACUGGAACUGAGACACGGUCCCGACGCCUACGGGAGGCAGCAGUCGGGAAUAUUGCACAAUGGUCGCAAGCCUGAUGCAGCCAUGCCGCGUGUAUUAAGAAGGCCUUCGGGUUGUAAAGUACUUUCAGCGGGGAGGAAGGGAGUAAAGUUAAUACCUUUGCUCAUUGACGUUACCCGCAGAAGAAGCACCGGCUAACUCCGUG